This 466-nucleotide ribosomal RNA is filed under the name uncultured bacterium. Its description in RNAcentral is "bacterial SSU rRNA". It matches the Rfam family "Bacterial small subunit ribosomal RNA", at positions 329 to 792 of the family's 1533-position model. The record is from RNAcentral.
GCCCAGACUCCUACGGGAGGCAGCAGUGAGGAAUAUUGGUCAAUGGGCGGAAGCCUGAACCAGCCAAGUCGCGUGAGGGAAGAAGGCCCUGCGGGUCGCAGACCUCUUUGGACGGGGAGCAAGGCCGCCGACGUGUCGGCGGAAGGAGAGUACCCGUAGAACAAGCAUCGGCUAACUCCGUGCCAGCAGCCGCGGUAAUACGGAGGAUGCGAGCGUUAUCCGGAUUUAUUGGGUUUAAAGGGUGCGCAGGCGGUCUGUUAAGUCAGCGGGAAAUGCCCGGGGCGCAACCCCGGUCCGCCGUUGAAACUGGCAGUCUCGAGUUGGAGAGAAGUAUGCGGAAUGCGCGGUGUAGCGGUGAAAUGCAUAGAUAUCACGCAGAACUCCGAUUGCGAAGGCAGCGUACCGGCGCCCAACUGACGCUGAAGCACGAAGGCGUGGGUAUCGAACAGGAUUAGAUACCCUUGUA